RNAcentral lists this long non-coding RNA (1422 nucleotides) under Cricetulus griseus (Chinese hamster). RNAcentral describes it as "lncRNA (ENSCGRG00015034960.1)". The record is from RNAcentral. Lineage: Eukaryota; Metazoa; Chordata; Mammalia; Rodentia; Cricetidae.
UGGGACAUGAGACUGGCACUUGGUAACAGGCUGGUGACUGGCUUGGUCCAGUGGCCUGCUUUUGUUCUUUGAGGUCCUUCUGCCUCCCUCCACUGCCUGCCUUCCAAUUCCUCAAGAGGUUAGCAAAGUCAUUUGGGUUGGAGGGGACACAGGCAAGAGAUAUGACAUCCAAACAAACAAACAAACAAACAAACAAACAGGGUCUCAUGUAGCCCAGGCUAGUCUUGAAUGCAUAUAUAGCUAGGUCGAUAUUGAACUUCCAUUCUUCCUGCUUUUCCCUCCUGAUUGCCGGGGUUACAAGUGUGAGUCACCGUGUCUAAUUUAUUAAUACUGUCCUGGUCAUUGAACCUAGAGUCUUCUGCAUGCCAGGCAAGCACGCUACCAACCUGAGCUACAUCCUCAGCCCCAAAGAAUGUUCAUGUAUGUUUUUUGUGCACACAGAAGAACCAUUUCACAGAGAAAGGCUAUCAUCAGUCCUUUCUGCCUAUCCAGCUAGACACCAGUUUCUUCCAGGAAAAAGAAACAAAGAUAAAACAUGUAAAUUGAUCAGUCACAGAUGGACCUUGCUGAUCAACAUCACCUGCUUCUGGAGAAAGAUCCUUGUUUUAUUUGACUUUCAGGAAUGGGCAGAAAAGGCCACUGGAAAAAGAUUUGGUCUUUCUGCAUAUGGACAAAGGAUUCAUGGUUUUCUGAGGAGAGGACUAACAGAGAAGACUCCUGGCCUACUCUGGAUGGAUGUCCAGGAAUGGGCUGGGAAGAGGUUAGGGGUUGGUUCCUGUUGUGGCCCGGCAUGUCUCAGCCCCAAGCCACGGUAGCCAGGAGGUUCAGCCUGAGUGGGGGAGCAUGGACUUGGAAACUCUUAGCAACCUAAUGGCGAUAAAGACCAAACACAGGCAUCUUGUCAUCUUUAGAGAGCUCUCAGUUCCAUGCUGCAAAACUGGAGUCUGACAGCCUUCCACAACGAGACACUCAACUUUUACUGAGACACCUCCCUGAGAGGCCUUGAAGUAGACCACGCCCUCUUUGACUCUCAGUCACCCAGGGGAAGAUGGGAGCCACUUGGCAUUCAUCCAGACCCAGGAGUGAAUGGAGGAAACAUCUGGAGACCCUUCCUGUGUCCCUUGGAGAGACUGUGUAACAGUUGGCUCUAUUUGGGGCAUUUCAAGAUGUGUGGUGCAAGAGACACACCUCAGACUUCCAGAGGCAGAAGGCAAAGGUCAAGCCACCUUUUUUGCAGCCAGAAGACCCCAGGGCCACACCCAGGACAGUGUGAACCAUGCCACUAGAGCACUCCUCUGGGACCUAGGGUGGCAGUGGACUUUUGUUUCUCAACAUGGGAAGGAAACCCUUCUAUGGCUUUUGGACACCCACCCUCCUGGGCAUAUAUACACUCUCCCAAAAUGCCCAGAGGGUAUCAAAGAC